GGAAGNGUGCCUGAAAGCUAAGGAUCUCC
RNAcentral lists this transfer RNA (29 nucleotides) under Atelopus exiguus. Its description in RNAcentral is "partial tRNA-Ile". The record is from RNAcentral. Lineage: Eukaryota; Metazoa; Chordata; Amphibia; Anura; Bufonidae.